UUUUUUUCUGGAACUGUGAUGCAACAUCUGCUGAUAUAUAUGGGGUACUUCAGGGCAUAUGUGCUUACUCAAAAUAUAGUUUUUUCUAAUGUGUGUAAAGCUUUCCACAGAUUUGUCCCCCAUCUUCCAAAAUCUCACACUGUGUUAUAUGUGAUUAUCAGCCUGUACACAUGUGAAUGCUGGCAAUACAGAACAAGCCUCCUUGUUCUUCAUACCUUUGCCUGACAGGGGCAUUUGAAGAGAUGUGCUGCUAAUCACUUUGACUGCAGGAGUCCGGGUAUGUAAGUACAAAGAGAUUCAUUACUUACUGAUGAAGCAGCAGCAAUGAAAUCCAGUGCCAGUGACGUGGAGGCUAGACCUAAAAUGAAAAUAAUCCAAGCUACUGCAAUAGCAGAUUGAUGUUAAGUAAGUAAUUAAAGAAGGAAAGAUGAAUGAAAAAGGAAACAGAUGUAAACCAGCUUAAUAGUUAUUUUGUAUCUUCUUGCCAAAUAUAUCUUAUUAUGAUUCUGUUACUGCUAUUUUAAAUCUCUGCUAAACAAAAUGUAUUAGAUAAGAGAGCUAUGACAUUUUCCUUCAAGGCUAUAACCCUGGUGAUUCUGCCAAGCUCAGCUGAUUGCAUGAACCUGCCAGGAUACUAAAUAGUUAAUGAGGCAACAGCAACUACAUUUAUAAGAAAGAAAAUAAGGUAGAUGGUCAGUUCCUUUUGGCUGAAGUAUUUGGUUUUUAAGAAUUAACACCAAGGCACUGAUAAAACACAUGGUAAUUUCCUGAGGAAAGAUUAGAAGCUUGUGCUGAAGAUAAAACCCCCAAAGCAUAUGUUUCCCUGCCUGGGCUUUCAUGUAUUAAUCCUAUAUGGAUUGAUGGUGUAAUUAGAACAAUUCUGUGACAGUCACAAUUUGAUGAGCACCAUCUUAUAGCUAAGCACACAUUCCUUACUUUCCCAAGACACCGGAAUCUGAAUAUCUCACUGCUUCACUUUGUCCAGUAUCAAAAGGGAGUUUGGUGCUCACGUUUGUCAGCAGGCAAUAAAGACUGGAUUCCACAAAUGCCAUAAGAGAUGAUGCCUCCAGAGCUGUGACCAGGUUGAUCAAGAGAUGAACUCUUCCUUCCCACAGCUCUCAGCCUGGCUCACAUCAGCAAGGCUUUCAGUGACUGUGCUGAUGACAGAGCUCCAUCCUAGACCAGCCUUGUGUGGGCUCUGAAGUGAUUUCUGCAGUGAAGGAACUGUCAUGAGGUGGUCCAACACUGGCUCAUUGCUCCGUGUAUCUGCUGGUCCAACAAUCCCUUUUUAAUCUGACCAAGGCCAUUCUUGGCUGGCAGGACAAGCAUUGCAGAGCUGGAAAGCAGUAGAGGAACGUCUGACAAGUUCAGUAUGGAAUUCCACUCUCAUGGUUCAAAUUUCAACUCUGAUGGCAACAUUUGCAGUUUUGUUUGCAGUAAUUCCUAACAGGAAGAUUACUUCUCCCUCUUGGAUACAUUUGUUUCUUGUAACGCUUGAUGCAGUGCAUCCAUUUGGCAAUAAACCCCUCAUUCGGGAA
Taeniopygia guttata (zebra finch) is the source of this 1538-nucleotide non-coding RNA. The record is from RefSeq and is a predicted model, not a curated record. Lineage: Eukaryota; Metazoa; Chordata; Aves; Passeriformes; Estrildidae.